Dromaius novaehollandiae (emu) is the source of this 3687-nucleotide long non-coding RNA. RefSeq lists it as uncharacterized. NCBI's taxonomy places the organism in Eukaryota, Metazoa, Chordata, Aves, Casuariiformes, Dromaiidae. The transcript is spliced from 4 exons. The record is from RefSeq and is a predicted model, not a curated record.
CGUGGAAGCUGAUUCUUCUCAAAUUUGGUGAAGUCCAUCUCGGCAGGUUGCCGGCAGCAGGUCUGAGUACUGCUCGCAUUUCUGCGGGCCGUGAUUUGGGUCCGAAAGAGGCUGGGGCCUUGUGCCGGGCCUCCGCUCAGCUCGCCCCCGGUGACCCGGCUGAAAGGCUGCCCCGGCUGCAGCGGUGGCUCUUCCCUUCGGUGGGGAUGGGGCUGCAUGUCGCGCCUCGUGUUUCCUAGGGAUGGGGCUUCAUCACCGCGUCCGUGCUCUUGCUGCUGGGUUGCCAUCCAGGCAGGAGCCUCCCAGUGACUCCUGCCUUUUAGCGUUUGAUAAAACGUGAAAACGAAUCGUUCAUGCCAUGGCAAAACAGGGUUUUAUCCUCUCCAAAGUGAAAGAUGCCCCCCUCCUAUUAAACCGUAACCACCUUUCGCAUUUUGUAACUCCGACUCUGAGACCUUCCACAGUCCUUCCACUGUUUUCACUCAUCGCUACUUGACCAGACUCCCAGAGAAAUCAAAACCCUUAUUAGCAAAUGUGUUGAUCAGAUAAGCUUGGAUGCUAAAAAAAUGACAGCAUAUAUCUGGCCAAAGUGGUAUUUACUGCCAUUUUUGUUCAGUGGGAUCUGCCUGAGGAAAUGCCUUUAUUCACGCUCUGCGGAUGGGGAAUUGGGGCACAGGCUGCAAGUGCUGUCCACAAUCACGCAGCGUGCUUGCGACUGAACGGGGGGUGAAUUUUUCCUGAAGAAAUUAUCAGGCAGAAAUAAAAUGCGCAAACAAAAGGCAAUACUUUGUUCACACGAUGCACAAUUAAACAGGGGGAAUUCAUAGAAGGCCAGAAGUGUGCAUGGAUUCAGUGAGGGAUCAGACAACGCCUCGGGGGGGGGGAGGGAAGCAUCGGGAGCUGUAAAAUACAAAAAUGAACAUACAACCUCCAGUUUAGUAACUUCCUGAACCACAGGAAGCUGGGAGCUCAGUUUUAGCAGAGAAGUUACUACACUUCACUAUUUUUUUGCCCAGUUCUCAACUUCUAGUAGCCACUGUCAGAGCUCAGAAUCUGGGCUAUAUGGACUUUUGCCCUUCUCUCUCUAUAUAUAUAUAUAUGUGUGUGUGUGUGUGUGCAUAUAUGUGUGCAUAAAUGUACACACCUAUUUAUGUAUCUAUAUAUAUCCAUAUAUAUAUUUAUAUAUGCAUAUGAACAUACAUGCACCUAUGGAUACACAUACCUUACGGAGAUAUAUAUAUAUAUAUAUAUUCUUCUCUCUCUCUCUUUCUCUUAUAAAAUAUCAUUAUCAGUCCAGGGCUCUUGAGCCCCUGCCCAAUAGAUUUCUCACAGGUGAGUCAAGUAUUUGAUGCAGCAGCCAGUGCUUUCCACAGGAGGAGCCACCGGCGGACUGAAGCAAAGAAAAGCGCCUCCGCACUGAGCAGCUCGUCUUUGGGUGUGAAGCUAAUGGAUGAUUACACGAGGAAAGAAACAGGCAUCCUAUGAGAGGUGGCAGAAAGGAACUCAGCUUGUGCUUGUGUAUGUGGAAAGAUCAUUUGGCUCAGAAAACCUGACCCUGGAAGUUAGGAGGAGACCACUGGAGAAGAAACCGCUGUCACCAGUGAACCCACCCCCGCGGAGCUCUGGGCUGAGCUCUGAUACCCUGUGGUCUCCGCAUGGGCAGGAACAAGAGGACAACUUUGCUGUUAGGUACAUGGGGACAACGUGGAGGAUGCCAAGGAUGCCAAGCCGUCACUGGAGGCGUUGGACCUUACUGCUGUCUUAUUUACCCCAGGAGCAACUGCCCCUGGAGCCAGGGACCCAGCUUUUUGCUCCUGGCGCGCUUUUUCGUGUCCAUCCUGUGCGGGGCCCCUCAGCUGAGCGCUGGACGUCCCGUCGUGAUGGGAAGUGGAGCGGCUGGGGCGCGCGGCCCUUCAGCUGCUUUGGGCUGUAGCGUGCAACGUGUUAAGCUGUGCAAAAAAUGCGUAUAUCAAAGCAGCUCCUGGGCUGCCGGGGCGGCCUGGAAUUUGUGACACGAAAAAGGUAGCGUAAAAAAACCCUUGGGCUCCUGGGAGGUGCGGGGGGUAAUUUAAUAUCAUCCUACUGGCAUAAAAUAAAGGCAAGUGCGAGGGAAAAGAGGCCCACGAUUUACAGUAGACUUAGUAAGGCUGCGUGUGUUUAGAACAGGCUCGAAAGAUGGGCAAAAGAAAUGUUUCUAGAAGUUUCCUAAAAGGCAGCCUUUCUGCUUAGACAAUUUUUCAAGGGCUUGGUAAGCAGGAAUGAAACAAUAUUUUAAAAAGGAAAUUUCCAAGUCACGAACUUCUUCUUUGAAGGCGUUUCCAGCUUCUCCGAAACUUAAAAAGGGGCUGUGUUCAUUUCAAGUUUUGGGUGAAAAUUUGGGUCAAGUUUCAAGAUGGUUUCUCGACCUCUAAUUACUAUUAUUAACACUCCUAAAUGGGCUCUUUAGAAAACCCCUCGACUAAGGAGGGCUGGAGUGAGCUAAUGAGUGUGAGAGGGAGAAGAAGGCCCUUGUCUGCAUUUUAAAUGCCUCGGCCUCGCUAAUUGGGGACCAACGGCGAGUUCUUCCUCGGAGGGGAGAGACUUCAGGGGCAGGUGGGAGCAAGAACAAUCAUUUUUAGACCUGUCACUUUAAAAUAUACCCACUGCUGCUCUGACAUGGCAGAGAGCGGAUUUUUCAGCCACAAUACGUAACUCUACCCUCCCUUUAGGCACUCGCAGGGCUUACUUGUUUUUGUUUUUCAAAAAAUGAGCUGGGCAGGUUUUUCCAAGGUCUCACAGCUUUAAUGAAGAAUAACAAUCUCUGAUGAUCCUGGCAACAGGAAUCUUUUUUUUUUCCCAGACAUAAACGAAGCGGCAGAGAGCCUUGUACCUACAGCUCUGUUAUGUGUUAGACCGGCUGGGUCCCCACUGACGGUGCUGAUCCAACUGGACACUCCCCCUGUCUUCCUGUAUUUUUGUUUUCCCUCUUUCUGGUAAAUACAUUUUUGGAUGCUGUUCCCUCUGUUGCAUGCAGCAUUCCCACCCUCAGGACCCACCCUCGUUUUUCUCCUCAGAGGAUCUACAGCUGCACUGGUUUUAUCCAGGGUGGGGAAGAUUUUCAGUGCUUUGUUGCUGUAGAAGCCUAUUUCAGUGAUCAACACCUGAACACAGAUGACAAACUCCAUAUUUUUCCUUCUGAAUAAAGGGUGGAAAAUGUAUUUACAAGAACUAAUAUUUCUGCUUUCUGUUCCACAGGACUUUUGAAAGCGGUUGUACAUGCUAAUGUGCAACCUGAUGAGUCCCUCUCGCACUUAGAAAUGCAGGCUCACAUAUUAAACACAUGAAAGCUCUGCAGAUUGGGCUGUACCCAGUAUUUUCAGAAGGCACUUCCAAGUCACGAACAACAGAGAAUCAAAGUGACUCUCUGUUUCCAGGAACAUUUUCUUCUUUCCAUAAGCCAAGGAAUCCAAAGACCUGAAAUAUUUUAUUUUGACUGAUAUUUUGGCCAAUUACUCUUUGUCUUGCAAUUGCACAUAUAUAGUCAAUUCCACCCAUGUGAAGCUGCACAAAGUUGAAGGAUCACUCAGGGUCAACCCGAAACUCCAUCUAUCUGUGUAUAAUGCUUUUGCUGUCUGGCUGUAUAGAGCUAUUUUUAUACCUUGUUCUGCUAUUGCUUAAAUAAAGAAAUGCUCAUUUAUAUGUGAAAAA